Molecule: small nucleolar RNA, 127 nt
Organism: Prolemur simus (greater bamboo lemur)
Lineage: Eukaryota; Metazoa; Chordata; Mammalia; Primates; Lemuridae
Source: Ensembl
UUAUUAAAAGUCAGAUCACCAAUUGGAAUUAUGUCUUUACUGGUCAUUCAAGUGGGGCAAAGGAAAUAUCCUUUUUAAAACUCAGGCAAACUAGUGUUUGUCUUGUAUCCCGUCAAAGCAAACAAAU